This 253-nucleotide ribosomal RNA is filed under the name uncultured bacterium. RNAcentral's name for it is "partial 16S ribosomal RNA". It matches the Rfam family "Bacterial small subunit ribosomal RNA", at positions 524 to 776 of the family's 1533-position model. The record is from RNAcentral.
UACGUAGGGUGCAAGCGUUGUCCGGAAUUAUUGGGCGUAAAGAGCGUGUAGGCGGCCCGAUUAGUCCGCUGUGAAAGUCCAGGGCUCAACCCUGGAAUGCCGGUGGAUACUGUCGGGCUAGAGUCCGGAAGAGGAGAAUGGAAUUCCUGGUGUAGCGGUGAAAUGCGCAGAUAUCAGGAAGAACACCCGUGGCUAAGGCGGUUCUCUAGUACGGUACUGACGCUGAGACGCGAAAGCGUGGGGAGCGAACAGG